Molecule: ribosomal RNA, 468 nt
Filed under: uncultured bacterium
Lineage: Bacteria
Description: partial 16S ribosomal RNA
Rfam family: Bacterial small subunit ribosomal RNA
Source: RNAcentral
GACGAACGCUGGCGGCGUGCUUAACACAUGCAAGUCGAACGGGAAGGCCCUGCGUUUGUGGGGUGCUCGAGUGGCGAACGGGUGAGUAACACGUGAGUAACCUGCGCUUGACUUUGGGAUAACUUCAGGAAACUGGGGCUAAUACCGGAUAGGAGCGCCUGCUGCAUGGUGGGGGUUGGAAAGUUUCGGCGGUUGGGGAUGGACUCGCGGCUUAUCAGCUUGUUGGUGGGGUAGUGGCUUACCAAGGCUUUGACGGGUAGCCGGCCUGAGAGGGUGACCGGCCACAUUGGGCCUGAGAUACGGCCCAGACUCCUACGGGAGGCAGCAGUGGGGAAUAUUGCACAAUGGGCGGAAGCCUGAUGCAGCAACGCCGCGUGCGGGAUGACGGCCUUCGGGUUGUAAACCGCUUUCGCCUGUGACGAAGCGUGAGUGACGGUAAUGGGUAAAGAAGCACCGGCUAACUACGUG